Molecule: ribosomal RNA, 428 nt
Filed under: uncultured bacterium
Lineage: Bacteria
Description: partial 16S ribosomal RNA
Rfam family: Bacterial small subunit ribosomal RNA
Source: RNAcentral
GUGGGGGAUAUUGCACAAUGGAGGAAACUCUGAUGCAGCGACGCCGCGUGAGGGAAGAAGGUUUUCGGAUUGUAAACCUCUGUCUUCGGGGACGAAACAAAUGACGGUACCCGAGGAGGAAGCCACGGCUAACUACGUGCCAGCAGCCGCGGUAAAACGUAGGUGGCAAGCGUUGUCCGGAAUUACUGGGUGUAAAGGGAGCGCAGGCGGGAUGGCAAGUUGAAUGUGAAAACUGGGGGCUCAACCCCCAGACUGCGUUCAAAACUGCUGUUCUUGAGUGAUGGAGAGGCAGGCGGAAUUCCCGGUGUAGCGGUGGAAUGCGUAGAUAUCGGGAGGAACACCAGUGGCGAAGGCGGCCUGCUGGACAUUAACUGACGCUGAGGCUCGAAAGUGUGGGGAGCAAACAGGAUUAGAAACCCGAGUAGUCC